Molecule: ribosomal RNA, 429 nt
Filed under: uncultured bacterium
Lineage: Bacteria
Description: bacterial SSU rRNA
Rfam family: Bacterial small subunit ribosomal RNA
Source: RNAcentral
AGUGAACGCUGGCGGCAGGCCUAACACAUGCAAGUCGAGCGGCAGCGCGUCCGACCACCCUCGGGUGGUCGGAUGGCGGCGAGCGGCGGACGGGUGAGGAAUGCAUCGGAAUCUGCCUCGUUGUGGGGGAUAACGUAGGGAAACUUACGCUAAUACCGCAUACGACCUACGGGUGAAAGUGGGGGACCUUCGGGCCCCACGCGAUGAGAUGAGCCGAUGCCGGAUUAGCUAGUUGGCGGGGUAAAGGCCCACCAAGGCGACGAUCCGUAGCUGGUCUGAGAGGAUGAUCAGCCACACUGGAACUGAGACACGGUCCAGACUCCUACGGGAGGCAGCAGUGGGGAAUAUUGGACAAUGGGGGCAACCCUGAUCCAGCCAUGCCGCGUGUGUGAAGAAGGCCUCGGUUGUAAGACACUUUGUUGGGUAGAA